AUUGAACGCUGGCGGCAUGCUUUACACAUGCAAGUCGAACGGCAGCGCGGGCUUCGGCCUGGCGGCGAGUGGCGAACGGGUGAGUAAUGCAUCGGAACGUGCCCAGUAGUGGGGGAUAGCCCGGCGAAAGCCGGAUUAAUACCGCAUACGACCUGAGGGUGAAAGCGGGGGACCGAAAGGCCUCGCGCUAUUGGAGCGGCCGAUGUCGGAUUAGCUAGUUGGUGGGGUAAAGGCUUACCAAGGCGACGAUCCGUAGCUGGUCUGAGAGGACGACCAGCCACACUGGGACUGAGACACGGCCCAGACUCCUACGGGAGGCAGCAGUGGGGAAUUUUGGACAAUGGGGGCAACCCUGAUCCAGCCAUGCCGCGUGCGGGAAGAAGGCCUUCGGGUUGUAAACCGCUUUUGUUCGGGAAGAAAUCCUCUGGGCUAAUACCCCGGGGGGAUGACGUACCGGAAG
This 460-nucleotide ribosomal RNA is filed under the name Leptothrix sp. oral taxon 026. RNAcentral's name for it is "bacterial SSU rRNA". It matches the Rfam family "Bacterial small subunit ribosomal RNA", at positions 28 to 484 of the family's 1533-position model. Lineage: Bacteria; Pseudomonadati; Pseudomonadota; Betaproteobacteria; Burkholderiales; Sphaerotilaceae. The record is from RNAcentral.